UUGUAUAGAGCCUUUACAUCCAAACUUUCAGUCAUUAUAAAGCGCACCAAAGUGCUAGGCGUGUUAUCUUUAUUCUCAAUAUGUGCAAGUUGCCAUCAAUUUUUCAUACUAAAAAAUGAGGAAUAUAUUAAUUUAUACACUUGUAUUAAUAGUUUCAGUAGUAUACCUGCAGUCAAAAGGUGAUAAACCUCUUCAUGAAAUUUUGAUAAAACUGUUGCCCUCCACCUUUACGUUAAUGACAAGUUUGAUUAUCCGCCGCCCAACCAGUAAUCGUAAUUAGAGAAAUUCGAGCACAUUUGUUUGUUUACGACAAACAAUGGCGGCAUAUUGACCGAAUAUAAUCGAGGAGGGUAGAUAAUGUGUAACGUAAGAAUCAUCAUAUAUUUCAAGACAAUGAUAAUUACUUAUAAGUUAACUUAAUUACUCGUCAACUACCUUAACCGAAGUGGCAAAAAGAAUAAGAAAAUGACAUGCAGGCACUGCACGCAGCUUUUUUAUAUAUUUACAGACAAAGAAAAAAACUGAUUAAAAAAUAUUGAUCAUAUACAUAUCAAUUAUCAUGAGAGCUAUAUAACACGCAGUUUGAUAAUACCACAGCAAUUUUUGACGUACCUGCAUUGAUAUAUACAGAUGCAAACUGCUUCUCUCUUCAUCUGGGACCAGAACAUUUGCC
Molecule: long non-coding RNA, 673 nt
Filed under: Erythranthe guttata (spotted monkey flower)
Lineage: Eukaryota; Viridiplantae; Streptophyta; Magnoliopsida; Lamiales; Phrymaceae
Description: long non-coding RNA (EGUT_LNC002956)
Source: RNAcentral